GGAAGGAUCAUUAAUGAAAAGUUCUUUCAAGAACCAAUCAUCACCCCAUUGUUUACUUACCACGUUGCUUCCACUGGACAGGUUGGCCCGUUAAAAGGUCGACCCUCUGGCCUUGUGCUGGGGAGUGCCGGUGGAUAACCCAAACAAAAAAACUUGAACCAAAACCUAAAUAAGUCAUUUUGUCUGAAUAAGUUUUUAUAAACCUUUAUAAAACUUUCAACAACGGAUCUCUAGGCUCUUGCAUCGAUGAAGAACGCAGUGAAAUGCGAUACGUAAUGUGAAUUGCAGAAUCUCGUGAAUCAUUGAAUCUUUGAACGCACAUUGCGCCUUAUGGUAUUCCAUAAGGCAUGCCUGUCUGAGCGUCAGCUCCCCCCCACUCAAGCUCUUUUGCUUGGAUUAUUUUGGGCAAGCGGCUGUAAAAAGUUGCUGUUCACAAAUUCAUAGGCAGUAUGGUCUUUUCCAAGCUGAACGUAAUAAUUAAAAAAAUCACGUUUACUUUGAGAGAUAUUGUACUCGCCCUUAACCCACAAACUUUUUUAUGGGUGACCUCAGAUCAGGUAGGGAUACCCGCUGAACUUAAGCAUAUCAAUAAGCGGAGGAAAAGAAACCAACAGGGAUUGCCUCAGUAACGGCGAGUGAAGCGGCAAAAGCUCAGAUUUGAAAUCUGGCGUCAUAUUGGCGUCCGAGUUGUAAUCUGUAGAGGAGUAUUCGAGUGUGGCGCUGGCUUAAGUUCCUUGGAACAGGACGUCAUAGAGGGUGAGAACCCCGUUAACGGCCUUUGUCUUAUGCUCAUGUGAAUCUCCUUCAACGAGUCGAGUUGUUUGGGAAUGCAGCUCUAAAUGGGUGGUAAAUUCCAUCUAAAGCUAAAUACUGGCAAGAGACCGAUAGCGCACAAGUAGAGUGAUCGAAAGAUGAAAAGAACUCUGAACAGAGAGUUAAAUAGUACGUGAAAUUGUUGAAAGGGAAGCACUUGCUACCAGACACGCCUGUAGUGAUCAACCUUCAUUCUUGAUGGUGCACUCAGCUAUAGGUGGGUCAGCAUCAGUUACGGCGGUGGGAUAAAGACUUGGGGAAUGUGGCUUCUCUCGGGAAGUGUUAUAGCCCUUUGUGUAAUACCACCUGCUGUGACUGAGGACCGCGCUUCGGCGAGGAUGCUGGCAUAAUGGUCGUAAGUGACCCGUCUUGAAACACGGACCAAGGAGUCUAACAUCUAUGCGAGUGUUUGGGUGUCAAAACCCUUACGCGGAAUGAAAGUGAAUGUAGGUGGGAACCGCAAGGUGCACCAUCGACCGAUCCUGAUGUCUUCGGAUGGAUUUGAGUAGGAGCAUAGCUGUUGGGACCGAAAGAUGGUGAACUAUGCCUGAAUAGGGUGAAGCCAGAGGAAACUCUGGUGGAGGCUCGCAGCGGUUCUGACGUGCAAAUCGAUCGUCAAAUUUGGGUAUAGGGGCGAAAGACUAAUCGAACCAUCUAGUAGCUGGUUCCGGC
Molecule: unclassified non-coding RNA, 1485 nt
Filed under: uncultured fungus
Lineage: Eukaryota; Fungi
Description: sequence contains 18S rRNA gene, ITS1, 5.8S rRNA gene, ITS2, 28S rRNA gene
Rfam family: Eukaryotic large subunit ribosomal RNA (bases 544-1485)
Source: RNAcentral